GCCCUUAGAGUUUGAUCCUGGCUCAGGAUGAACGCUGGCGGUAUGCUUUACACAUGCAAGUCGUACGAGAGUUUUUAACUCAAGUGGCGGACGGGUGAGUAACACGUAAGAAUUUGCCUUUAGGAGGGGGAUAACAACUGGAAACGGUUGCUAAUACCCCAUAUGCUUUCGAGUAAAAUGGAUUUUCCGCUUAAAGAAGAAAGCUUGCGGCUGAUUAGCUUGUUUGGUGAGGUAAUGGCUCACCCAGGCCGACGAUCAGUAUCUGGUUGUGAGAGGACGAUCAGACACACUGGAACUGAGACACGGUCCCAGACUCUUACGGGAGGCAGCAGUGGGGAAUUUUCCGCAAUGGGCGAAAGCCUGACGGAGCAAUACCGCGUGAGGGAUGACGGCCUAUGGGUUGUAAACCUCUUUUUUUCAGGGAGGAAUCAAUGACGUGUACCUGAAGAAUAAGCAUCGGCUAACUCCGUGCCAGCAGCCGCGGUAAGACGGAGGAUGCAAGUGUUAUCCGGAAUCACUGGGCGUAAAGCGUCUGUAGGUGGUCAAAUAAGUCAACUGUUAAAUCUUGGGGCUCAACCUCAAAAUCGCAGUCGAAACUUUUCGACUAGAGUAUAGUAGGGGUAAAGGGAAUUUCCAGUGGAGCGGUGAAAUGCGUAGAGAUUGGAAAGAACACCGAUGGCGAAGGCACUUUACUGGGCUAUUACUAACACUGAGAGACGAAAGCUAGGGUAGCAAAUGGGAUUAGAUACCCCAGUAGUCCUAGCCGUAAACAAUGGAUACUAGAUGUUGAACAGAUCGACCUGUGCAGUAUCAAAGCUAACGCGUUAAGUAUCCCGCCUGGGAAGUAUGCUCGCAAGAGUGAAACUCAAAUGAAUUGACGGGGAAGGGC
RNAcentral lists this ribosomal RNA (889 nucleotides) under uncultured bacterium. RNAcentral describes it as "bacterial SSU rRNA". It matches the Rfam family "Bacterial small subunit ribosomal RNA", at positions 1 to 924 of the family's 1533-position model. The record is from RNAcentral.